Molecule: ribosomal RNA, 252 nt
Filed under: uncultured bacterium
Lineage: Bacteria
Description: partial 16S ribosomal RNA
Rfam family: Bacterial small subunit ribosomal RNA
Source: RNAcentral
ACGGAGGGUGCAAGCGUUAAUCGGAAUUACUGGGCGUAAAGCGCACGCAGGCGGUUGAUUAAGUUAGAUGUGAAAUCCCCGGGCUUAACCUGGGAAUGGCAUCUAAGACUGGUCAGCUAGAGUCUUGUAGAGGGGGGUAGAAUUCCAUGUGUAGCGGUGAAAUGCGUAGAGAUGUGGAGGAAUACCGGUGGCGAAGGCGGCCCCCUGGACAAAGACUGACGCUCAGGUGCGAAAGCGUGGGGAGCAAACAGG